GAUGAACGCUGGCGGCGUGCCUAAUACAUGCAAGUAGAACGCUGAAGCUUGGUGCUUGCACCGAGCGGAUGAGUUGCAAACGGGUGAGUAACGCGUAGGUAACCUGCCUCUUAGCGGGGGAUAACUAUUGGAAACGAUAGCUAAUACCGCAUAAAAGUUGACAUUGCAUGAUGUUGAUUUGAAAGAUGCAAUUGCAUCACUAAGAGAUGGACCUGCGUUGUAUUAGCUAGUUGGUGAAGUAACGGCUCACCAAGGCGACGAUACAUAGCCGACCUGAGAGGGUGAUCGGCCACACUGGGACUGAGACACGGCCCAGACUCCUACGGGAGGCAGCAGGAGGGAAUCUUCGGCAAUGGACGGAAGGCUGACCGAGCAACGCCGCGUGAGUGAAGAAGGUUUUCGGAUCGUAAAGCUCUGUUGUAAGAGAAGAACGAGUGUGAGAGUGGAAAGUUCACACUGUGACGGUAACUUACCAGAAAGGGACGGCUAACUACGUG
RNAcentral lists this ribosomal RNA (497 nucleotides) under uncultured bacterium. Its description in RNAcentral is "partial 16S ribosomal RNA". It matches the Rfam family "Bacterial small subunit ribosomal RNA", at positions 28 to 507 of the family's 1533-position model. The record is from RNAcentral.